AUUCCUCGGCAGGGCAGGCGCGGUCUCUUCGGCUCCGAGCUGACCCUGAUCAGGGCCGAGUCGUCUCGGCGGCGCUGCCGAGACCUCCACCCAGGACAAUCCCCCUCCCCGGGCCUCUCUCCUCUUGCCUACGAGUCCCCUCUCCUCAUAGGCCUCUCGGAUCUGAUAUCGUGGGGUGAGGUGAGCAGGCCCGGGGAGGGUGGUUACCGCUGAGGAGCUGCAGUCGCUGUCAAGAUGAUAGAGGUACUGACAACAACUGACUCCCAGAAACUGCUACACCAGCUGAAUGCCCUGUUGGAACAGGAGUCUAGAUGUCAGCCAAAGGUCUGUGGUUUGAGACUAAUUGAGUCUGCACACGAUAAUGGCCUCAGAAUGACUGCAAGACUAAGGGACUUUGAAGUGAAAGAUCUUCUUAGUCUAACUCAGUUCUUUGGCUUCGACACAGAGACGUUUUCUCUAGCUGUGAAUUUACUGGACAGAUUCCUGUCUAAAAUGAAGGUAUGUUUGAAGGUAAUUUUGCUCAGUGUGUUUUGGAGAUGGAAUUGUUACCUUUUGGCUGGUAUUCAUAAA
Molecule: small RNA, 570 nt
Filed under: Pongo abelii (Sumatran orangutan)
Lineage: Eukaryota; Metazoa; Chordata; Mammalia; Primates; Hominidae
Description: retained intron
Source: RNAcentral